Molecule: transfer RNA, 73 nt
Filed under: Ornithorhynchus anatinus (platypus)
Lineage: Eukaryota; Metazoa; Chordata; Mammalia; Monotremata; Ornithorhynchidae
Rfam family: tRNA
About the family: Transfer RNA (tRNA) molecules are approximately 80 nucleotides in length. Their secondary structure includes four short double-helical elements and three loops (D, anti-codon, and T loops).
Source: Rfam by way of RNAcentral
GGCAGUGUAGCCUACUGGGUAGAGCAAGGACCCUGCAGUCAGAAGGACCUGGGUUCUAAUCCCAGCUCCGCCA